Molecule: ribosomal RNA, 440 nt
Filed under: uncultured bacterium
Lineage: Bacteria
Description: partial 16S ribosomal RNA
Rfam family: Bacterial small subunit ribosomal RNA
Source: RNAcentral
CCUACGGGAGGCUGCAGUGGGGGAUAUUGCACAAUGGCGGGAACCCUGAUGCAGCGACGCCGCGUGGGUGAAGAAGCGCCUCGGCGCGUAAAGCCCUGUCAGCAGGGAAGAAAAUGACGGUACCUGAAGAAGAAGCCCCGGCUAACUAUCGGCAAGCAGCCGCGGUAAUACGUAGGGGGCCAGCGUUAUCCGGAUGUACGGGGUGUAAAGGGGGCGCAGACGGCGAUGCAAGCCAGGAGUGAAAGCCCCGGGCCCAACCCCGGGACUGGUCUUGGAACUGCGUGGCUGGAGUGCAGGAGGGGCAGGCGGAAUGCCGGGUGUAGCGGUGAAAUGCGUAGAUAUCAGGAGGAACACCGGUGGCGAAGGCGGCCUGCUGGACUGCAACUGACGUUGAGGCCCGAAAGCGUGGGGAGCAAACAGGAUUAGAUACCCGAGUAGUC